CAGAAGGAAGUUCGAGAGUCCGCGUGAAUGAGUAGGGUGGGAGCGUUAAUCGGAAUUACGUGGCGUAAAGCGUGCUCAGGCGGGUGUGCACGACAGAUGGGAAGUCCCCGGGUUUAACCUGGGAAUUGCAUUUGUGACGUCACGGCUAGAGUGGGUCAGAGGGGGGUAGAAUUCCACGUGUAGCAGUGAAAUGCGUAGAUAUGUGGAGGAAUACCGAUGGCGAAGGCAGCCCCCUGGGAUAACACUGACGCUCAUGCACGAAAGCGUGGGGAGCAAACAGGAUUAGAUACCCGGGUAGUC
Molecule: ribosomal RNA, 300 nt
Filed under: uncultured Desulfurococcus sp.
Lineage: Archaea; Thermoproteati; Thermoproteota; Thermoprotei; Desulfurococcales; Desulfurococcaceae
Description: bacterial SSU rRNA
Rfam family: Bacterial small subunit ribosomal RNA (bases 52-300)
Source: RNAcentral